RNAcentral lists this ribosomal RNA (414 nucleotides) under uncultured prokaryote. RNAcentral's name for it is "bacterial SSU rRNA". It matches the Rfam family "Bacterial small subunit ribosomal RNA", at positions 505 to 918 of the family's 1533-position model. The record is from RNAcentral.
GUGUCAGCCGCCGCGGUAAAACGUAGGUCACAAGCGUUGUCCGGAAUUACUGGGUGUAAAGGGAGCGCAGGCGGGGAGAUAAGUUGGGAGUGAAAACUAUGGGCUCAACCCAUAAAUUGCUUUCAAAACUAUCUUUCUUGAGUAGUGCAGAGGUAGGCGGAAUUCCCGGUGUAGCGGUGGAAUGCGUAGAUAUCGGGAGGAACACCAGUGGCGAAGGCGGCCUACUGGGCACCAACUGACGCUGAGGCUCGAAAGUAUGGGUAGCAAACAGGAUUAGAUACCCUGGUAGUCCAUACCGUAAACGAUGAUUACUAGGUGUUGGGGGAUUGACCCCCUCAGUGCCGCAGUUAACACAAUAAGUAAUCCACCUGGGGAGUACGACCGCAAGGUUGAAACUCAAAGGAAUUGACGGGG